AGGCGACAAUCCGUAGCUGGUCUGAGAGGACGACCAGCCACACCGGAACUGAGACACGGCCCAGACUCCUACGGGAGGCAGCAGUGGGGAAUCUUGCGCAAUGCGCGAAAGCGUGACGCAGCAACGCCGCGUGGGGGAAGAAGGCUUUCGGGUUGUAAAUCCCUUUCAGUUGGGACGAAGCUUCGGCGGUUAAUAGCCGUUCGGAGUGACGGUACCUUCACAAGAAGCACCGGCUAACUACGUGCCAGCAGCCGCGGUAAUACGUAGGGUGCAAGCGUUGUCCGGAAUUAUUGGGCGUAAAGAGCGUGUAGGCGGCCCGAUUAGUCCGCUGUGAAAGUCCAGGGCUCAACCCUGGAAUGCCGGUGGAUACUGUCGGGCUAGAGUCCGGAAGGGGCGAGUGGAAUUCCUGGUGUAGCGGUGAAAUGCGCAGAUAUCAGAGGAACACCAAUGGCGAAAGCAGCUCGCUGGGACGUGACUGACGCUGAGACGCGAAAGCGUGGGGAGCAAACAGGAUUAGAUACCCUGGUAGUCCACGCUGUAAACGAUGGCAACUAGAUGGUGGGGGGGUGUCGACUCCCCCCCGUGUCGAAGCUACGCAUUAAGUUGCCCGCCUGGGGA
RNAcentral lists this ribosomal RNA (618 nucleotides) under uncultured soil bacterium. Its description in RNAcentral is "bacterial SSU rRNA". It matches the Rfam family "Bacterial small subunit ribosomal RNA", at positions 271 to 879 of the family's 1533-position model. The record is from RNAcentral.